CUGCACCCUGCCUGUCAAUCUCUUUGACUGUGACCAGGGUCCACAAGGGCCUGGAACCGGAACUGUGAGGAGCCACCCUGGGUAGCCCAGCUUCCCCAAAGACACUGCCGCGGGUUUCAGGCAGAGGACAGUCUGGUUGCUCUGUGACCUCUACAGGCUUUGAGCCUUUGGAUCUCAAAACCUCAGCGCCCUAGACUGCAAGACACCCCAAGAGGCCAGUGCGUCCUAGGAAAUGUGAUGAGGCCCCCCCAGCACCCAGCUCUUCUGAAGGCCACUCAGUACAUGGAAACACGGUGAGACAGCAGGAGUGGAGGUGUUGGGUCUUCUACAACUCAGCGGCAGGGAGAUUUCCAGAACCCAGCACAUCCUCAAGAAGAGCAUCCGGAGAGCGUGCCCAGGGUACACCUGCCACAGAGGCAUGUUACUCACGUGACCCUGGGAGUUGGGUCAGAGGGUC
This is a long non-coding RNA of Fukomys damarensis (Damara mole-rat), 457 nucleotides long. RefSeq lists it as uncharacterized. The record is from RefSeq and is a predicted model, not a curated record. NCBI's taxonomy places the organism in Eukaryota, Metazoa, Chordata, Mammalia, Rodentia, Bathyergidae. The transcript is spliced from 3 exons.